Molecule: non-coding RNA, 351 nt
Submitted as: unclassified sequences
Source: Rfam
AGUCAACUUUUUCUCAGAAAAAGUUUUUUUGAGGGCUAGCAUGAAUAUUUUAUUUGAGAUGGCGCACUCCAUCCCUUGCGAGCAAGGGAGACCCAAGCGCCCGCAGGUUGCCAACGGAUUAGAUGAGGCAUCAGGCGAAAGUAGGUGAAAGUGACAGCACGAGACCUUCAAAAAGAACCUCGCUAAAAGGUUCACGGCUAAGUCUAUAUAGAUAUGCCGAAACGUGCCGAGACGGGUCAAAUACACGAAAAGGACCUAGACAAAGUUUCGAAAGAAAUAGCUUGUAGGGCGUGUUGAACGCAAGUAAAAAGUCUAGUUGUAAGCUGAAAUACUUACAAAGUAAUCUAAUCC